Molecule: long non-coding RNA, 265 nt
Organism: Oncorhynchus tshawytscha (Chinook salmon)
Lineage: Eukaryota; Metazoa; Chordata; Actinopteri; Salmoniformes; Salmonidae
Source: Ensembl
CACAGACAGGUUUACAGGAAACCCCUGUGGCAAAACGGCAGGAUGACAGGAUCCUUGAAGAUGUCACGGCACACAGGGACAGAAGAAAUCCUCCUCUUGGAAAGAUGAACCAGAAACCAUUUUGUAAUGAAAUCACUGCCACUUCUCUGUAAAGAGAGCAGACAGUGACUUGUUAUCUAAUCAGAGGGGAGUUGACAGAGACCGAAGGGGAGACUAUAAGAGGAGGAACGUUGACGUGUACAGCGGACGUAUCAGCACAGCGUUG